Non-coding RNA from Meleagris gallopavo (turkey), 14570 nucleotides. NCBI's taxonomy places the organism in Eukaryota, Metazoa, Chordata, Aves, Galliformes, Phasianidae. The record is from RefSeq and is a predicted model, not a curated record.
GCCGCGUGCCCUCAAGGUGUUUCCCGCCGCUCGGCGUCGCGUGCCGCUGUUCUCCUCAGGCUCCGCGCCCCGCUGCCGAGAUCCGGCGCCUCUCCCGGCAGCUCCUCGCCUUUGCGAGGCUCCCGUCGCUCCUUCCUGGUUCCGCGUGCCUCUUCCUUAUCCCUCUGCUGCUCCGAGGCCGGGCGGCCUGGGGCUCCUACGGCUUCGCUAAGGGAAAGGCUGCGGGCUGAGGCCGUGCUGAGGUCGCCUACCCUCCUUGUCCCCGCCUCAGCACGGCCCGCAGGACGCUAGCUGGGCUUCAGCCAGCAGCAGAGCGCGCAGAAAUCUGCGAUGCCGGCUAACUAUGGCAGUGUGAGGUACUGCAUUUCAGCUUUAACGGUUCCAACGUGAGGCAGACACCUGGGCUCUGAGACUUCCUGCAAGGUUUUGUUUUUUAUUAUAAAAUUCUGUCGGCAUUUGAAAGAGCGAUUUGAGCGAGUGCUGAGCACGGGGCUCGCUGUGAGCACUGCUGUCCCAUCCCGUCCUCCGCACCCCGAGUCCCUUCUGAGCUGUUUCCUGUACCCUACUUCAUCUCUGUGCUCUGUGCAGGACCCUCCUUGUCCCAUCUAAACUUUCCGGUGAUGCUAUCUGUGGAAAAUGAUAAAAACAGAUAUCUUUUUAGUCUGCCGGUUUGGGUUUGGUUUGGUUUUAUUUUUAAAUGCUCCUUUGACAAAGGCCUCUGCCUGCGGUAAUGCGCUCUGCAGAGUGUCUGGCAGUGUGGAGAUGAGUGCUGCCCCCUGAUCUUAGCAUGUUUGUACCAGAUUGUGUUUCUAUUACAUGCGCUGCUGUUGCAGUGGGAUUUCACAGCUUCUGCUAAAUAUAAACAGUGUGCUCUACCGGGGCGGUGAGAGGCUGCCCUGAGUGCUGUCCUCCACCUUCCUGCCUCUGUGCUGACGUUGUUUCUCCUGCUGUUUGUACCUGGGACCCUUCGCCUUUUGCAUGAAAGACUUGAAGAGGGCAGUUCUGUUCUGAAUGCAUGGGCACUGCUCUUUAAAUCAGUCACAGUGCUGCCUGGGGAAGGUGAAUGGACGUGGGAGCACAGCAAAGUUCUGUGCAAAAAGUUUGUUACGUUGGGUGGCAAGUAUAAAUAUGAGUUUGGCAGCUCUUUCGAGAAUGUUUGCAUACUAAGACUAUAGAGAAGAAACAAAUACAGCGGGUAUAGCAUAGCGUGGCCAUGUUUUACAGUGCUCCACACUACAAUUAUCUUACCUGAUAUGGCUUAAUUUUCAACAGAAGUUGCUUUUGAAGGAAGGAAAGAAUUUCAUUUUUUUUCCCCAAACCUUAGACGUGCUAGUAUUCUAUGAUAUGUUGAUGUAUUUAAAAAUCUUCAUACCAGUGUUUUAUUUUGCUAAAGUAAAAGAUGUUGCCAUUAUCACAGAAAAGAUUCUUGAGGUUGGGGUUUGACAAAGACAAGAUGUAAAGUCGUAAGGAAAAUUUAGGAGACAUUCCUUGUCUUCCUAAAAAUGUAUCCACAUCUUGAAAGCAGCUUCAGCCACUUACAAGCACCUGUAGAAAAGUAACAGAAGUUUUCUGGACACCUACUUGUGCGACCUGGUGUAGGGAACCUGCUUUGGCAGGAGGGUUGGACUCGAUGAUCUCUGGAAGUCCCUUCCAACCUCUGUGAUUCUGUGAUUCCUAGAAUCUGAGGCUUAGAGACUUUCUUCCCCCUACUUGGAGGCAGCAUGCCACCUGCAUGACAGCUUCGGAAAGAUCACAGGGGCUGGCAAGGAAACAUGGCCAUGAAAGAUGUACAAGAUUUAUCUUAUCACCAGAGUGCAUCUGUCUUGGAGAGUACUAUAUCCUUGUUGUAAUCUCACAUCCUAAUCACAGGGACUGUGCUUUUGCUAGCUUUGUGCAGUAAAUGGAUAAGGAGAAUUUGCCAACCACACCUAUACCAAUUCUGGAAAAUAUUCAGUAUCACUGCCAAAAUAAAGCUCAGCCAAGGGCCGCCUGGGGCUAAGACCUGGUUCUGCUACAAGGAGUUCUUAGGCUGGAACCCAUGACAGGAGGAGAAUCACCAUUUCCCAGCACAGCUGAAGGAACUGAAGGCAGUUGGCAAAGCUCAGUACUGGGACUAUCAGCAAAGAACAAACAUUAAAAAAAAUGAAUUAGCAAACACCUUCUGUGUUUCUGACUAUUUAGUCUGGGAUUAAAGCAAUAACCUGUUUUGGAAUUCAGUGGCCAAACGUUAUAACAAACUUCCGGGUUUCUUCCGUAUCAAAUAGCAUGCAAGUUUAAUUUGAAAUGCCUGUGUUUUAUAUAGACAGUGUUUUAAAUGCAAGUAUAUAUUAAAAAAAUGCCAUAGUGUACAAAACUUCGUUCAGCUAUCCUUUUGCUAUGCAUUACUUCCAGAGAACAGCUGGAAAUCCCUUUGGAAGUUUGAUGUAAUUACAUCUGACUGUGAAUCUUUGACUGUUUUUAACACUCAGGUGACCUAAGUAGUAUUACACAGAAAAGUGUUUUAAUUUAAAGUAAUCAAGAAAGAGUAAUUAUCUCAAAUUAAGAUCUCAGUUUCUCUGAGAAAUUACUGCACAGAAAAGUCUUGUAUGCCUUCUUCUACAGCCAUAAUCUUUGUAUUUCAGCAUUUUAAAUACGGUAACAAUGGAAGCUCGGCUUAACUCAUCUUCUCUUGGCUCUGUGUUACUGCUCCUUCGCUGAGACAAUUGAUCUGACUCAGUUUUUGGUAUUUCUGUGUUAUUUUUUUCAGCUAAUUCAAGGGUGCUAGCAAUCCUUUGCUAGUAACUUUUCUUCAGUAUGAAUUUCUGUCAUAUUCACACAGCUAAUGUACAGGUGCCAGGGGUACAUUGCCAACUGCCCUUUAAAUUUGCAGGUACAAGGCACAUUUUUACUUCUAAAAAUUUUCCUUCAAAAUUGUUCAACCAACCGGUCUUUACAAAAAAUGUAAGGGAAGAUGGUGGGAAAUUCUACUCGCAAGUCAAGUGAAGUUCUCCUUUGCUCUCACAUUGUGCCAAGCAAGGUGAAUGAGGCCUAAAGCUCCCCAACCUACAAUGACUGCUCAGCUUCACAAAUAUCAGGCAUUGGAUGUAAUUUUGUCAAGUGUUGAAUUUAUGGUAUUGUAGUGCAGAUCUGUUUCAUUCUUUGUGUGCAGUUGGUGCCUAUUCCUUUGCUAUUUUCUCAGGGCUUCUGGAAACAAGAGCAGCUAACAGUAACACCUGGAUAGGUUGUGACCAGUUGUAUUGGUCUGGUUUGAAGCAGUCAUUUAGUUUUGUGGCCUUUAUAAAUUUGCCUGUAAUGUAGUCAUGUGUUUUGUGAUUUGCCUGUACACAAACACAGCCUCUCUCUGGAACCAACUCUUUGGGGGUAAAAUUGUGAUGCCUCAGAACAAUACCCUACAGCAGAAAUACAGCUAUUUGUGAAAAAGCUUGCAGAGGCUGUUUGUGAAGUUAUUAUAUUUGUGACAGUUGUAAAAAGCCAUUGAGCUGUGUUCAAUAAAAUGGGCUUCCACCAGAGCUGGGCACUUGCUGCCAUAAGCAAAGGAGCAGUAGAAAUGCACAAGCAGCAAAGUGAGGCUGGAACUAGUGGGCGGGAGGAGAUAAAGAUGGCAGGGCAGGGUCACUGACAGUGUGAUCCUGAGAAACAGGACAGAAGGAAGUCUGAAAGCUGAAAGACGGCAGGGUUUAUGGUGAAAUAAACCCUCUUAGAUUGUUUGGCUCCUUCUUUAGGUGUGGAAACAGGAUUCUACACUUUCUUAAUAGGUGAGAUGCACAAAUGUAUUCUCAACUUUUUCUUUUUGUAAAGUAUCCCACACACCAGCAAAUUUUCAUUGAUCUCUGGAAUCAAAAGAGACUAACAGUGUGAAUUGCACCAGUGUUCCUAUGGACCAGCCUUCUUACGCUCAGCAGUGUUGCUGGACAUCUAGGCAAGAAUAAGAUCUUUGCAAGCCCCCGGAUUCAGUCAGCCAUAAGCACACUGUGAACCUUUUUUCCUGACUACCAGAUUGAUGCUAUUUUUAAAAAAAAAACCCACAUACAGAUUAUUUUCAAAUGAAGACAUUUAAGUGUAGCAUUUCAUUAAAGAAAAAGUGACAACAUAUACUUUAGCUUUCUAUUUCAUCUUAAAUCACAUAACUAGAUUAUUGCAGUAUUCUUUAAACUCAGAAGUCCCUUUUCCAAAUGGCAGCGAAAAUAGCUUUUCUCGUGACUUCUAAGAAAGCUACCUUUUUUGCUCUUUUAUGUCAAUCCUUCCCAUGCACUGUCAUCAUUUUACCAAGGCAGUAGUCUCUUUUCUUUCUUUCUUUUCUGCUUUCUUCAGGGUUUUUUUCUGUAGGUUCCUUCACUAAGGGAAAAGUUCUCAGUCCUGCUGGGCAGGGAAUGACUCCUUGAGCAGUGUAAGCUUAGGGAGACAAAUGUAAGAUAAACCUGAGAAACUGAGGGACAAAUGCCUCAGACUUCAGUUUCUACCUGAGUCUGAGUAGCUGUUGAAGAUUUUUUUUUCAUUCUGUUCCAUAGUCUAUACUACAGGUAUUCAUGUUUGAUUAAAGCUGUUAAAUAAAAAAAAAAAAAAGAAGUUUACAUAGAAAAAAGAGGUACUUUGAAGGCUGGAGAAAAACACUUUGUAGUUGGUGUUCAUUAUGGCUGACUUUUCUUAAGAGACCUCGUUACGGAAUACGUGCUUCUGUGCAAGUAUUUAAACCUACUGCCAUACAAGGUGAUAUAAUGGGCUCUUGAGUCUGGAAAACAUGAAAUUAAAGGUAAUUGAAUCUGUUUUGUGAGCGUGGACCACCUUGUUUGAUUACUGACUAUGAGAUCAGUAUGGGAAGGCUUCCAGUGCAGUCUUUGCCUGGCGCCUGCUCCAGCCAGGUGUUCAGGUUAUUCCUGAAACUAAAGAACUGGAAACAGAAUACUGCUGAAUCAAGCCUAUUUGUGGCUGCUUUCGGCCCAAUGCUUUGGGUUUCUGGGAAAAAGGGCUGAAACAGGGAAUAACAAAAAUGCAUAGUAUUCUUUAAAUGCCUUUUUUCUCUGCUUCUGUUGGUUGAAAUUCCGCUUCAAAAGUUUUCCUGCUCCUUUAGAGGCAACAGCAGAUUAAACUCAUUUUUAAUAUGAAUUAGAAAAGAAAUGCAAAUGAAGAAAGAAUUGUUAUUCUCAUUAACUAGCUCCUGUGGUUCAGAGACCAAGAUAAAAGGGACAAAGACUAGAUGCUAUUAUUCAGAAGAUCCACAUAAGACUAAAGAUGCCUUGUGUUUGGGAGCAGCCUGACCAAGUGAUGCAGCUGCUGGAGGAGUGCUGUCAGAGCCACUCGACAGGAGGCUGUCCUGUUUGCCACUUUGGGUGCCAGUUUUCUGAAUUGACACCCUAGUACUGUUUACUUGUGAUGCUGUGGUUAGAAAAAGUAUUAAUAGUUGUGAAUAAUUACAGUGCAAAAUGGGCUUCUCAGUAAAGUCGGGGUGAAAUGUGAUGUUUGCAAAGGAUGUGACCUCUGUGUUCCAUUCCCUUUCUUCUUGAGGGCUCAGAGAGAGCUGAGAGAAGAAAGUGGAGACGUAGUCCUGGGGGGAGACACAAGCAGGACGACCGCUAUCCUUGGGGUACCUUACUUUUUAUUUAUAGGUUUGUGAAGCGGACAUCUCAUAUGGAAAAUUCUUAAUAGCUGUCUUCAGGCUGUUUGGAGUGUUCACCUGACCUGUGACAUUCUCAGCGGAGAAUUGAAAAUGCAAAUAUGCAUUAGGCAGGAGCUUUAGCCUGACUUGUUCUGAAGCUGAUGAUAUGAUGGGGACGCAAUGCCAGCCUAAAAUACUAAUGCUCAACAAAGUGAGCAUUAGCAACAGAAGAAAACUAUUUUUAAAUAGAAGAGUUUUGAGAGAGAAAUCUGGUGAAGCCGGCAAUCGCCAGUUUUGAACAACGUUACACAGACUUCCUUCCUGUUUGCUCCACCGAGGUGUCGCAGUGAGAUGUCCUCUUUUUUGUCUUUUGCCCUUAGUCUGCUCACCUCAGGCACUGCCGUGCUGGAGCAGCCACCUUCUUCUCACCCUCGAAUUCUGACACUGAUCAAUUCAUACGUGCUGUUUUCCUGAUUCCUUAUAAACCUGAUAUUUAUCAUUCUGAAAUCUAGUGAAGUGGCUGUAACAGUCUUGUAGCUGUGGAGGCAGAUGCAGCAAGGUUUAACGGAGGUAAUAUCCAGAAAUAUUGUUAAGAUACUUCAUAUUUACCUUUGAGACUCCUUUGCCUUCUGUUGCGUGUCAUCCCUUGCAUUUCAUCUAUACAUGCUAGAUUAGCUUUACUGCAGGAGUCUUCUUUUCCAUAAACAUUUCUCAUUCAAUUAAUCCUUCUUUAUAGAGGUAAUGGUAAAGUCUUGCAGGAUUUGAAGUGUGCAGCCAUGUUAGCUCCUCUAGUGAGCGCAGUUACGCCUCUUUCAUUUGAACGAACAUCUUCCUUUUCUCUAGGUCAGUUUUUCCAGUUUGUGGCAUUAUUAAGGCUGAUGAAAUGAGGGAGUUGGUAGCAUGCAACCUGGGGAAACAAAAAGCACAGCCUCACUACUGCUCUUGUUUGCCAUCAAGGCAAAGGCACUUUUCAUAACUCUUACUGUGACAAUCAGCUUUUUGUACGGUAUUAAAGCAAGAUAGUAGGACUACCUAUAAUGUUAAUGAAAAGAGAUAAACAGGAACACAAAAAUUCAUCAUGAGUACGAUGAGUAAAUGUAAGCUCUCUGGAUUUUGCAGUAGACGUCUUGCUUGCUGUUUAUUGUAACUGUUAUGUACAUACUUAUGGGAUUAGGCAAUUCACACUCAAUGUAAGAAAUGAUGGAUCUGAGCUGAAUUAAAGGCAUGAAUUCUUUUUCUUCUAUCUCAUGCAUCGUUAAAUAUUGCUAUUGUACUGUCUAAUGAUUAUCUAUAUUAUACCUGUCACCCGAUAGCAACCACGGUCGUUACGAUAAUGUCGAGAUUAUAAUUACAGUUCCUUCUGUGAUGCAGUCAUACUAUGCUUAAAAAUGUAUCCUUGAUAUGGUAGUAUCUCUUGCUUGGCCUUGGCCCAAACACAAAUGCAUUUUGAGAUUUUUGAGGGAGAAAUAAUCUAUUUCCAAGUUACUAACAUUCAAGUAACAUCAAUUACAUACUGAUAUGUCUAUAUUAAACAAACAAAAAAUAGCCAUUUAAACUACAUUUUUGCUUCAUUUGGGAUAAACAAAACUUGAAAAACUUCUUGUCCUUUGCUAAAUAGCUCCUUAUAUGUGUUUUGGAAUUUAAGAAUAUAAAAGACUGCAGCUGUUAGUCUGAGAUCAACAAAAUCACUUAAAAACUUGUUUGACAGCAUGUGUCAGAUAAGCCCAUAUCUUUUGUGACCUGAUCUGAUGCAGAAUGCCCCAAACAUUCGGCCUGGUCAUCUGAGGCAUCUCCUGUGGCAGGGGCUGGCAACCCCUGGCACCCAGAACUGACUGGGAAAGCAGAGGCAGGGGCUGAGCCCCGCGCUGUGGGAAUGCGGGCAGCAGGGGCUGGCAGGGGAAGCCUUGCUGUGGUGUAAGAGACCGGCUGUCACAGCACGAGCUGGUCGCCACAGGAAGAACUCGGGGAAUAAGUUGUAUGUCAUUGUCUGAUAGCUUCUUCAGAUUUUCUUGCUGUCAUUAGUCUGUUUUAGAUCUGUGAGACAACCGUUUAUUUAAUUCUAAAGAAAAACAAUCUUCUCUUAUAUUUCUACAAAUAUAUAAAACAGUUCUCUUCCCAAGUAUGAAGUGGUUUCGAAGAAGCUGUGUGGAGGAAUCUUUGUGAAUGCCACUCUGAGUGCAAAAGCAAAAUAAAGCAGCAGUUCAAAAUAAAAACCCACUGCAUGUGAAACAGAGGAUCUUGUAACCAUUUUCUAACAUCAAACACUAUAAAUAUUAUGCUAAGCUACUGAGUAAAAUAGCUGAUAAUCUGUUAAUUGUAUCUGUAACUUGAAAAUAAUUAUGGUCACCACAGUCAGGAUAGAAUGGCAUGUACAGUUUUUAGUAUUUUAAUAACAUAUCCACAUAAUUUUUUUUUUUUUGCUUCCUGUUCUCAUCUGUGGCACAGUACUAUAUUGAGAUCUGACUUUCCAUUGAUUUUAAAACAAAGAAUGUUGAUACAUUGUUUCAAUGCACUUUUGCUAAUAUUUUACAUCAGUGUUUGAUUUCAAGCAUGAAUCUAUGUAGCUGUUUAUAUGCCAGCCAUUCCUAGGGUGAUGUAGAUCCCUAUUGUGCAAAUACUUUUUUCAUACACUAUUGCCAAGAGUUUUGAUUAUAACCUUUGGUGCGAGAUUGUCUGUAGGUGUUCAGGAAAGGUUUCUGCUGCUGAUGGAUGCUGUCAGCAGUGAGGACUGCUCGCUAUGUAUUUUGGGAUCCAGACAGCUGUUUGCCUGUGGCCCAGUGUGUCAGCCAGCACAAAAGAGAGAAGCUGCUUGUUCUCCCAUGUACAAGCCAGUUGCAAGAUUCCACAGCUGCUGCAUCCCUUUAAAAUGUGCUAAUUUAUGCCUUUUUUACAUGCUGAGUAGCACAUUUAUUCUCAUAUCUUCAGAGGCACUUAUAUGAAAGAGUACACAGGACAGUGGAAUUUCAAUUAGUUUGCUCAUUAUAUAGGGCUUAAGGCCCGGGUUGUUACUAAUUGUUUAAUAAGUUUGGUGGAUUUCAUGGGAAUUUUUAAAUCUCACUCUGAAGUGAGAACUGAAAGUGUCACUGCUUACCAUUGCUGAAUGUCAGAGCAGUUCAUGUAAUGAUGCUAGUUUUGACGAGUGGAACUGUGCUUAUGAGCAGGAAAUAUCCAUCCUAGCAGUGAAGAACACAUCAGUGAAUCGGGAAAAAAGAUCUAGAACUCUAGGAUGGCUCUCAUGUAUUCCCAGCUCAUCAGAAGCUGCCAAGGGUACAAGCCAGACCCAGAAGAACUUUAUUUGCUGUUCUGCUUUCUUACGAGCUUGUGCCUUUGCUAAGGGAUCUGGAUUUAUUGCUGUGUGCUUGAUAGAGUUACAGAAUCGUUGUUACAUCCUGUGCAUCUUGCAGAGACAAAAGAAACACAGGCAGCAUUGAGUGGGUCUCGGGUCCAGGUGAAUACAGAGAAAUCCAUUUCCCCAAAUGGGUUCCUAUUUUCACACAGCUUGUAACAAGGAGUUACGGUAGAUUAUUUCAUGCCUGCUUUGCAAUUCUUGUUAAAGUCUUUGUUUCUAAUGGAAGAGGUACAAAUUCCCCCCCACUCCCCUCCCCAUUUGAGCAGAAAGAGUUUAUUUUAUUUUUUCCCUUCUUGGCACACCAGGGGACCUUCCAAACCUUUCAAAUAUUGCUCCUUUGAGAUCAUAGAUUGUUCUUUAAGAAACAACUGCUUUCAGCGAUGUGAAAGGAUUUAGUCAUGUUGCUCUUGAUGUCCUGCUGAGUUUGUAUUAGUAUUGGUAUGGGGCCAGAGCUUCAACAAAGGUGUGGGUCUUUUGCCUAAGCAUUAGUAUGGAUUUUGAUUUUCAACUUUGGAGGAAAGGAGUAAGAUGUGUUCCAAAGCAAAACAUACUUUGUCUCCCAUUUAAGAAUGCAUUAUCAGAGGAAUUUCUUGAGGAGCUCAGUGAGUAAGUCUUCCCCCUUCUUCAGCCGUAUGCCUACAUAAAGAAUCAAGGCUAUCUUAAAAGUUACGUUAACAAUGGCUCCCUGGCACGUCAAAUGAUUGUGCUCAGCACAGAUACUGAGGUCAGGAAAAGAGAAGCUAGAUGGCGCUAUGGUCCUGAGAUCGUGUGCUGCUGUGGGGGGAGCAAGACGAACCCACGCAGAUUUUCUGGUCUAAAAACCAGAUAUCGUCAAAUACAGGGACAGAAUUCCUAAAUUGGAAGAACAUGAUUUCCACUGAGGCAAUUAUUUAGCUUUUGGUUUUUAACAUAGGCAACAAGUUGAAUUGUUUAGGAAACAGACUUAAGUUUAAGCUGUGGACAUGAAAGAGAAGAUUACAGGUGUAGAAUGGCUUUGAAAUUACCUACACAGGUAAAACUGUUAGAAAUACGUUGUGCACCAUUCUCAUGACAUUACUUAUGCUUAUUUAUUUUAAGCAAAUGCUUCUGCUCAAAGAUGCAAGUAGGUAUGAAAGUAGUUAAACUAUGCACCACAUCGUGCAGUUAAAGGAAAGACAUCUGAUGUGGCCUGGGAAAUUGAAGGGGAAAAAAUUAAAUCCAGAUCCACUUAUAAAAGUUUUCUUUGAAUUUUUAAGAAUGGAGAUAGAGAGAUCUCCUUUGCUAAUUAUAAAUGUACAGUAAAUAUCUAGAGUAGUUACUGCAAGACAAUCAUGAAUUUAUCUUUAGAUACAUAUAUUUUCAUUUUCAUUUGUUGAUUUUCUUUUUCACUAUUUAUAGAACAAUUUUUAAAAUUAAGUUGUAGUCAUUUUUAGUUAGCAAAUGCACAUCGUUCCUCCAUUUGUAUUUUUGGCAGUCAGACAAGAAUAUAUUAAUAAUUUUUUGUUAAAAUUGUAAGGCCAAGCAGAGCUUUUACUUUUUACCUCUGACUAGUAUUUAGGAGUACAGUUGGGCAGUAAGAAUGCCAAAGUUAUUACAAAAAGCAAAACACUUAAACAAAAAUAUCCCCAAGUUCUGGAAAUCUGAGGAGGUCUGAUUUAAUACUGAGCUUAGAGGGAGUCUCAGCAGUUGAAAAUAAAUAACAUCCAGGCAGCCAGAUAACUUUGAGUUUGUAGUGAAGCCGGCCUCCAGGCUUUGUCAACACUAUUAUUUGGAUCAGCAGUGAGGGGGCCAGCACUGAGACAUUUCUGUGUUUGAACUGAGUUCUUCCGCUAUAGGAAAAGGUUGUGGGUUUUGUUGUUCUUGUUUUGUUUUUGUUAGGGUUUUUUUUUUGUUUGUUUGCUUGCUUGUUUUUUGUUUUGCCUUUUUUUUUUUAAAGGAGUUAAUGUUUUAGAGGUAAGGUACUGUUAGACAAACAUGCACCUGUAACAACACAUGCAAUAAAUGGCUGAUGUAGUAUUUUAUCAUGGCAGAAGGUAGCCAUGGGAUAUUGUACUGUUCCUUCAGUGAUAGUAAAGGUGUGGAAAGCUACAUAACAGAUUUGAAAGUGCCAGAAAUGCUUUGAAGUUAGUCAGUGGUAGGGAGGCCCUUGAGGAACUUCAAGGGAGCCUAUAAAAAGGACUAGGAAGGUGAAAUGAAAGGCUUAAGAGAAUGACAGAAUUUUAAUCCUUACACAAUUGUAAGAUUUUGUACAAAUAAUACCAAGGACUAACAGCUUGAAGAGCUGAGGAAUAAAACCGAAGACAACAAAAUGGAGUUGGAAGGAACAAAAGAACAAAUCACCCUUUGAGUGAAACUGAGGUGGUGGAUGUAACCGAGAUGAAUGCUGGGAGGCCUCAGGAAUUUCAUAAGAGAUGCUUUAAGGGAGGCUUAACAGGAGAGAAUCAUCUGUAAACAGAAGGUGUAGUGUAAGAAAUGGGUUAGUUUGUAGAAAGCCUCCAGAGAAGCAGAUCCAUAUUAAUUGGCUGUGAGUUUGUAAGUUUGAAGAACCAAGCUAUUAGAGAAACUGUAUUCUUGAAUAGCUUUCCCUUGGGCUAGCAGAGAGCAAAAGUCAAUUGCUUCAAGUGUGGUGCUUUGCUUUAAAACAAACAAACAAAUAAAUAAAGUGAAAUGAAUUCCAGAAGAACCAUUUGUGAGAUCUUCCUCCCAUUUCAAAAUCCAGUGAAUUUAUCAGUGCCUACUCUAUUGUGUAUUUGAUGAUUCAGUUCAUUUUAGCCCCUAUGCUUAUUGUUAGUGUACUAAGAGGUCAUAUUAAAGUUUUAGGAGGAAACUGAUGCCUUCUGAAAUGGCUAACUGGAUUUAGGAAGAAAAUUCAGAAUAGAUUAUAACAGAUUACACAAAAUCUUUUCCUUCUGCCAACAACAUGUGAAAAACACCAGUUCCUGUGAGUGCCUUCUUGAAACCCCACAGGCUUCCUGCUUUGCCCAGUGUUUGCACUGAACUGCCAUCAAUUGCACAGGCAGAUGAGCAUCCUCCCGUGAGUGGUAUCAUUCCUCCAAUGUUCCUCCAAUUAAAUAUAAUUCCUCCAAUUAACACUUGGCAGAUCGUGAGUCUUGUCCUUAUUUAAAUACUGCUAGUUUGUUAAAGACCAUUAUUGAUUUUUUUUUAUUUCUUUUUAAUCCUAUGGGAAUCACACAUUUUCUUUCAUGGAGACUGUACUGUGCAAUGCCUUUUGAGAACUGACUUCGGGUUCCAACCUUCAAAAGCACUAAGGAAUGCAAUAGUGCUAGUACAUAUAUAACUGUAAGUUUUAUGCUGUGCUGACUCAGCAACAAGAAGGGCCAUCUGCAGGGUACAGUCUGACCUAACAGUGCUUCUCUUCUUUUCUUUUUCUGUCAUUCAAAUGCUUUCCUCCAAGAACUCAAGGAAACUCAGAGUUUUUUCUUUUUUUUCUGGUGUAUCAAAUUGUUUUAAAGUAGUGCUGACGUUGGCUGAACCUUCUGCAGGUUCAGUCUCUAAUGGAUCAACUGAAUGGAAGCCCCAAAGUUCUCUAAUGCCUACUGUAAGUCAAGGGUCAUGUUGUAUAUGGAGCAAAAUACAUGCAUGGUGACAGGAAGCAGACUCUUCCCUAUGUUUUAAAUAGACAAUAGAGGUCCAAUGUCUAGUUAUUGGUGAUAGGAAAGUCUCCUUGUUCUGGUUUCUGUUUCCUGUAACACUGUAUAUAGUACAUCUCCUUCAUGUUUGUUGGUAUUAUUUAUAUUUAAUAAACGUGUCAUGCAGCAAAUUCUUAAAAAUAACUGUCAACUUUGUAUUUGUUUUUGAGAAACUGCUGAUGCUAAACAAAGUACUAAUUUUGGAUUGCAGCAACUACCCUAAAAUGUAUGCUCAGCAAGAAGUGUUUUUUUUAAUUUAGUGUUAUAGGUGAACAGAAUAAAACAAGAACGGAUAAAUUCAAUGCAUUUUAAAUCUGUGAGAAUGCAAAAAAAGUUCUAAAAAUUGCUAUGCUUUUAAAUUGCUUACUUUGCAUUGAAAGCUUCUCAUUUUAGCUCCCUAUCCUUGCACAAAUUUAUCCUCAAGAUUGUUUGUCAAAGCAGCAUAUGGUAAGGGGAAACAGCAACAUAUUUAUAAAAUACAAAUAGUAGGAUGGUUAAAUUUUGAAUGCUGCCUAUUUGGAGGAAAUCCAAACAGGACCUGUGAAACAGAAGUGUGGCUUUGUGAGCCUACUUGCAUAAAGACCAAGAGAGUACAUGAAAAUGCUAAUGUUUCAAAAGGGUGUUAAUUGUUGUGAAUUUGAGCAAUUAUUAAUUAUGAAAAUACUGUGAUAGUAGGAAUGUGUUAUAAAUAUGUAACAUUGUAGUAGAUGGGGUGUUGGACAGGCUCCUUAGUUGGAGUAGCAUUCUUCUCCCUACUGGUUCUGAGCACUGGUUAUUGUAAAUGCAACUAUAUUGCAGUAGCAACUUUUAAAAAUCACUUUUCUGUUUAAAAACCUCUUAAUGUUAAUUUUUUUGUUUAGCAUUCCUGGGAUAUGCCAAAUUGUGUUGCAUUAUAUUUUUAUUUUAUUUAUUUUCAUUCAAUACUCUGUGAAUAUUUGAUAUAUUUUUAUUUCCUUUGAAAAUUAGAGGUUCCCAAUGGUACUCAAUAUUUCCAUGGGUACUUUAACACAAUUGCAGUCAUUCAGCUAUGCCUUGUCUUCCAGGCUACUUCUGAAGAGAGCCAGGCUGCAGAGAAGAAUAAGAGCUGAAAACUAUUUUUCUUCUUGCCUUGGUUUUGGAUGCAGUCUUUGAGUCUACUACUGCAAUUGUAGAUCAAGAGACACUUUGUGGAAAGUCACACGUCUUUCUUUUCAUCUUCCAUUGAAACUUAAUUUUGCUGGCUGUAGUAAUAUUUUAUAUGUUAGUGUCUCCAGUCUGUCUGCCCAAGCAUCUCUUUUCUUUACAGCUCUGAAAUCAGCCACAGCUUCCUCAACUAUCUGGAAGAUACCUUCCUAUGAGCAGCAGCCUUCCUUCCAGGGCCUGCUGUGCAGGGAAGAGCAAAGUUCAGCUUGUUACUCACUUGUGUUUCACACUCUUUUUCUGUUUUCUCCUCAAGUAUAAGCUCUUAGUAGUUUCAUGCUCUAAACUACAGUAUUUCUUUUAUGAGUCGGAGCAUCUACAAACAGCUUUACUCCAACACAAGUGAGACCUAAGGAAAAAAGAAGAGAAUGUUCUAUCAUCAGUAGAACAAGCUGGAGAAUGAGCCUCACCUCCGCGUGUCUGCUCUGCUGUCUGCAGCGUUUGGUUGAUGGGGCAUUUCCAACAAGAUUACUGAAAGAAAGAAUAGUAGGAAAUCUUAAUCAACUUAAUUAUACUAUUUUUGUGCUAAUGAAGUAGCUGGAAUGACAGGAGGAACUCAGCAGGAAGAGAACAAUAGCAUGUUUACGCAAUACUGAAGUUUGGGAUGCUACGCAGUGGAAAUGAGCAGGCAGGUCUUUUGUUCUGGUAAGUUCAUAUCAGCUUCUGAUCUGGUGUGUAUGCAAUGGUCAGUUUGCAUAGAAUUCACAGCUUAAUUUCAGUGAUUGAAAGGGUUUAUAAACAUGGCAUAGUGGGUGUAAUAAGAUGAAUUUCAUGAAGGCAGGCCUUCUAGUAUUUAGUAUCAAUUGUUGAAGCCUUGAAA